Molecule: long non-coding RNA, 5021 nt
Filed under: Homo sapiens (human)
Lineage: Eukaryota; Metazoa; Chordata; Mammalia; Primates; Hominidae
Description: non-protein coding lnc-DNASE1L2-2:10
Rfam family: mir-940 microRNA precursor family (bases 3266-3359)
Source: RNAcentral
GGGCCGGGCUGUGCUGAGGCCGGCGGGGUGGUAGCACAGGAGGGGUUCGCAGGCUCUGCGGCCGUGCGUGGCGGGGCGUGGGGGCCCGCAGGGCGGAAGUAGCUCGGAGAGACGGGCUGGGGCAGGGCGUGCGUUCGUGCGGUCAAAAUCCACUGGUGGCGUUUGGGGUGUUCCCGUGGACGCGGCCUCCCGGCAGGCGGACCUCCACCGGGUGGGCGCGGCAGGCGGGCUGUGCGGGCAGGAAGAGCGACGAGCUUGAGAGUGGGAGAUGGGGUGCAACGGCGGGCCUCUCCGGGGAGGUGACACUGCCGCUGAGACCCGAAUGGAAGGGCGCGCCCGGCGGGGGAACAGCAGGCGCCGAGGUUCGCUGGAAGCAGGGAAGGGAGGCCCGGGUACCGGCUCGCAGGCCCGCGCGAGCUUCGCGGCAGCGGCACGGAGCGUGUGAACGGCGCAGCGCCGAGGCUUCAUCCAUCGGCCGGUGCAGGGUCCGGGCAGGGAGCACUGUCGACCAGGGUCCGACCCUGGGAGAGUCCAGAGGUGGCGCCUCUGGCAGGGACAGAGGAGGGGGUGACGCUGUAGGGGUGCAGGCAGGAGGCUCCGCGUCAACUCCCCACACUGACGGGGCGGAUUUUUUUUUUUUUUUGACAGAGUCUCGCACUGUUGCCCAGGCUGGAGUGCAGCGGCGCGAUCUCGGCUCACUGCAACCUCCGCCUCCCGGGUUCAAGCGAUUCUCCUGCCUCAGCCUCCCGAGUAGCUGGGAUUACAGGCGCACACUACCACACCCGGCUAAUUUUUUUUGUAUUUUUCUGGUAGAGACAGGGUUUCACUAUGUUGGCCAGACUGGUCGAGAACUCCUGACCUCGUGAUCCGCUCCUAGGUUCGCCUUGGCCUCCCAAAGUGCUCGCUCCUGGGCGUCCCAAAGUGCUGGGAUUACAGGCGUGAGCCACCGCCCCCGGCCGAGGGCGGGUUUUGUUCUCUGCUGUGCCUGUCAGGCAGUCGUUGCCCUGUGGUUAUUUGUGGAGGGAUUGACGGUGCGCUGAGCUUCAGACUUUGUCUGAACAGCUUCGUGGCAGCAAGGAAGGGAGAAGGGAACAGAUCCAAGCCGAUCUUUGGGAGGAGAGAACCAGCAUGACUUGGAGACUUUAGAUGUCAGAGCAAAGGACAGGGUGCAGCUUGGUGACCCGGAGUGGGUGGGUGGGUGAAUGGAUGGAUAGAUAGUGGGGAUGUGGUCUGCCAUCACUGCCCUCUUCCCUGUGUGGGAAGCCAGCUCUUGGUGACUUCCUGCCGAGACCCACUCCCUCUGGCCCUGUCCGAGGGUGUCAAGUGUGCCCUUGACCCUUCACCCUGGGCUAAGGGAUGUCCAAGGAGUUGGGGACAAAGGCAGCUAGGAGGAGGAGCUACCUCCCGAGUCUGCUGCAGUAAGUCACCAGUGUGUUCCUGUGGGUGGAGGCUGGCAGGCCCAUCAGUCUGGUUUGGGUACCCGUUGGAUUUGGGUUUGAUGACAUGUAAAGUGAGUUAGAGUCUCUGCAUUACUGUCACACCUGCUGUGCCCAGGCAUGGAAGAUUAAGUGGAACAGAGGGGCCGCCCCCCUGCUGAAGGGGCCCCAGAGUCGGCGCUAGGGGAGGGGGCAGCCUCGGUGGUCCAGGCAGGCAUAGGCGGAAUUCUCUGAGGUGGCAUUGGAGUCCAGUGGUCAGAGGUGCUAAAAGGCCCCAAACCUAGAGCCCAUGCCCAGGGCCCCACUGACACCUGGUGGGCAGGGGCAGCCUGGUGACCCCACAUGACAUGGGUGGGCGUGACGCAGCACCAGCUGGGCCGACAGCCCUCCCCCUGCUGGUUUUUAAUGCUCUGCAGUAAUGUCAUUUGGCCUGCGAAUAAGCUUUCACACAUUUUAUAUUAAAUCUACAAGUAUGAUUUAUUCAGGCACUUACGAAUUUAAUCAAAUUUGUUUCUAAAUAUUACUGAUUUUUGUUAUCAAAUGUGCCAUCAGCUGUUGAGCUUUGAGAAUUGAGCAUCCUGGCUUUUGCCAUUUUGAGGAUCAGCAGAAGCAUGUCUGGAAGAAAUGUGAGAAAAUAAAACUCAGGAGCCUACCCCCACCCUGCCCUUCCAGGAGCUCAGCCCCAGAGCCAGGCUGCUAAGGCCAUGGAGGCUGAGGGCAGUGGAGCUGGGGUUUCUGGAGCCUCAGGGGCCCUGGUUUGCUGGAAGGGCAGGCAGGGCUUCAUGGAGGGCAUUAGGCAGUGGCCAGAGCCCUGCAGUGCUGGGCAUGGGCUUCUCGUGGGCUCUGGCCACGGCCCUGAGCUCCUCCCCUUACCUUCCCAGAGCGGAGGGUCACCUGCUGAGCUGGGCACGGGCUUCUCGUGGGCUCUGGCCACGGCCCUGAGCUCCUCCCCUUGCCUUCCCAGAGCGGAGGGUCACCUGCUGACAGUUUGGGGCGGCUCUGUCUUUGAGAGCAUGCCCUCAUGAAGGCAGAAUGUCCUCCCUGCCUCCAUCCUCUGUGGCCCGGUGGCUCCUGCAGUGCCUGCCCUCAGAGGCUGGUGGCCUGGGACACAGGGAUGAGGAUGGGCUUGGUGGUGCUGCAGGUCACAGUGGGUCAUGAAGGAGCUUUGGGGGUGUUGCAUUCUCUGGUAAAGCACAGCAAGGGAGCCCUUUUACCCACUACUAAAACCUGGCUCUGCACUGAGGCCAUGCGCAGCCCAGUCAGGUGGACGAGGGGGUAACGACUGGACCGUGGGGAGGCAUCAGAGGAGGAGCUGCUGAGAGGCGGGUCACCACAGCCUGGUGCCUGUCUGGAGAGGGUGGGGCUGGGGGAGGUGCUGGCCAGGUCCAUGGGGGUGGCCAGGCUGGGUCUGAAAGGGCCUUGCGCUGGUGUGGGGUGAGCUUGGUCUGUUGGGAGAGUAUGCAGUUCAUUGGGGCCUCCCUGGCUCCAGGUUUGCAUGUCUGAGGAGUGGGUAUCAUCAGGGCCUGGGGCCUCUCCAGUGGGCAUGUCUGAACUCUCCCAGGGUUGGGAGCCUGUGCUCAUCACAAGCUCAAAGCACUCCAUUUCUGCUACCAUGAAGUCAAGGAUGGUGACUGUGAGCCGCCUGGGACCUGAGCUGCCUGGGACUGUGACUGAGGCACCCGGGGUGCCUCUUAGGGCCUUGGGUUUGGGCCCAUGGCUAGAUGAGCCUUGGUGAUUCUGUGGUAUUGCCUGGGCCAGGUGGACCCAGGGGCAGCUGCGGCUAGUCCAUUUGGAGCUCCUUCAAGCCGAAGCAUCCAACACCAGUGUCUGUGAGGUGUGGGCCCGGCCCCAGGAGCGGGGCCUGGGCAGCCCCGUGUGUUGAGGAAGGAAGGCAGGGCCCCCGCUCCCCGGGCCUGACCCCACUGCUUCAGCCCCCUCCUGCCUGCCUACAGCCUGGCCUCGAGGGCCCAUCAGAUGGAGUCUCACUGUAGUCCAGAUGGAGUGCAAUGGCGUGAUCUCGGCUCACUGCAAGCUCCGCCUCCCCGGUUCACGCCAUUCUCUUGCCUCAGCCUCCUGAGUAGCUGGGACUACAGGUGCCCGCCACCACACCCGGCUAAUUUUUUUGUAUUUUUAGUAGAGACGGGGUUUCACCGUGUUAGCCAGGAUGGUCUUGAUUUUUCGACUUCAUGAUCCGCCUGCCUCGGCCUCCCAAAGUGCUGGGAUUACAGGCGUGAGCCACCAUGCCCGGCCAAGCACUUCCUUGAACACAGAGGUGACCAUGAGGAGGGAGGCGUGAACCAGGAUGACGGGGCAGCAGAUGGAGCCUGCCUCCCUGAGACCUCAGGUGACCGAGUGCUGGACUGCCUCCUCCUGCCUACAUGGCUGAGAAAUAAACUUCUUUUUCAAACCACUGUGACCUGGGGUUUUCUGAUACCCUCAGCAAGCCUGUUCCUGUGGCCUGGUGUGGGUCCCCUGACCUGUGGCCUGGGCUGCCUGUAUCCGGCCUGCCCCUCUGCUCCGCUGUAAACCUGUGAUGGCAGUGGAGGGGCUUGGCCUGGGCCCGCCCCACCGCGAGGUCUUCCCCUCUCCGAGUUCUGGGUGUGGUUUCAGUUGAGCCACGCCGUUGGACUGGGCCGGCCUGGAGGACAGAAGGCACAGGCUCUUCCACAUACCUGGCUCGUGGCCCAUGGGCCGUCUGCUCACGGGAGCCCUGCACCAGGCCAUGCAGAGCAGUGAAGUCAAAACCUCGUUUCCCAGGUCUAAGGUGAACUGGGAGCAGGGCAGGAGUUGGCUCUGUCAGAUGCCACAGUUGUUUGGGGACAGUGUCCGUAGAGAAUGUGUGGCCCCCCUCCGUGGUCUAGGGUGGAGCGUGGAUAGGCCGGUCACUCCUAUCCCUGGGCCCAAGGCUCUUUUCCCCUGCCCUCCCGUGGGCUGGGAACUGCCACAGCUCAGACAAAAAUCGGCCAGGGCAGGGUCCUGAGGCUUCAGUCCCAGGCUCCUUAGGGCACCCCUGGUGACCCAGCUCCAGCACUGAGUUUCCAGAGGCCUUGAGGAUUUCCCUGGGAUGCCAGAUGGGCCCUUCCUGCUGCUCCUGGGGUCAUCUAAGCUCCAGGCUUGGGUGCAGCCCUGGGCCCCUGCCACAGACGCCCUGAAUGCACCUGCCCCUCCCGGUCCCCACGCAGCAGCCUCCUGAGCUGCGGAUCAUUUUCCUAAGAAGGCAUUCUACUUGUGCCAGUCCUUACUUAAAGACCCCUGCUGGUGCUGGCAGCGUGCUACCGGGAAGGAUGGUAUCUCCUGUGCGUGUCCUGUGUACGCUGGCCUCACACGUGUGUGCCUCAUGCGGGCUGUGCCCUCAGUCCUAUACGCUCUCCCCAACCCUCUUUUAGGGUGUCACAGGAGAAAAAUGACACAUUCCUAAAUCUCUAACACAUGGGCUUGAAAACAAGUCUGAGGAUGCCCUGCAGAAGGGCCAUGGGCAUGGACAUGGAGCUGGGUGGCCUCGUGCACUGACCUUUCCCUCUUCCUAGCCCCAGGCCCGACCUAGAGGCCACAGCCCCUGCGGACAGGCUGUGGGGCCAGAAGGGC